CAUUUACCAGAGAAGCACUGAUCAGGACAAAAGAAGUGCAGAACUUUUCUUUAUAUUUAUUUACUUCAACAGCCAUUAUAUCAGCACAUUAUGUAUAGACCAGUCAUGGCUUCCUGUACAUCUGUGUCACUAUGGAUGAUUGCCCUUCUUGUGUUUGGAGUGUUGGCAAUCUUUGGAAUAACUAUUGGUCUCCUUGUUCAUUUUCUGGCAGUAGGUUACCUUCAGCAAGUUGCCUUAGCUGGAAGAUUGGAACAUAUACAAUAAAAAUGUCACAAUUAUGGUUGAUGCAUUUCAAAGUUCUAGCAUUUACAGACAAUAUAUCUUUUCUCAAGUCAUCACACUGGUGUAAGUAACCAACAUUAACCAUCAAAAAAGAGAUCAACUGAUCAUACAUACCAGGACACUUCAAAUUUCUCUGUGAAAAGAAUCUAUUGAUAUGUUAUAGUCCUUAGCCAAUAAGCUAUGAAUAUCAAGCAUUAUCAUAAAUGUCAGACUAAUUUUUCAAUAUGAAACCUAAGAUUGGGGCCAUAUAGUUGAGUUCACUAGAUGUAUUGAGGAUACAUUAAUCCUCAA
Molecule: long non-coding RNA, 573 nt
Filed under: Homo sapiens (human)
Lineage: Eukaryota; Metazoa; Chordata; Mammalia; Primates; Hominidae
Description: novel transcript
Source: RNAcentral